RNAcentral lists this long non-coding RNA (357 nucleotides) under Bos mutus (wild yak). Its description in RNAcentral is "lncRNA (ENSBMUG00000016431.1)". The record is from RNAcentral. Lineage: Eukaryota; Metazoa; Chordata; Mammalia; Artiodactyla; Bovidae.
CACAGCCUCUGCUUCAGGGUCCUGUCUUUCUUGAAACUUCCUUUGGGGAUGUCUCCGGCAUUUCUGGGCCUUACCUUCCUCUUCACGUGGCCUUUCUUUCCUGCAGGGCAAGGAGGGCGCAACAGACUCCCCUUCCCUGGCAUUAAUUAUGGUGGAGCCGGCCACUCCACAGCCGGCAACCAGCAAGGCAACAUGAUAGCAAAAAUUGUAUCUCCCAUCGUCUCCAUGGUGGUGGUGACGCUGAUCGGGCUGGCGGUCAGGUACUAUAACCAGAGGAGAAACUCUCUCAGGACAAACGGCAAGUCCUCCCCCCGCCCCCGCCCCCGCCCCCNNNNNNNNNNCCCAAUUGUGUCUGCC